AAGAAAAAAAAUCUCUCCAAAAUAAAUGAAAUUCGGUGUUGCGUCGUUCUUUUUCUUUCCUUUCCUUUCGGCAGUCUGCUUUCUCAAUCUUUCUUCUUUCUUCCUUCUUUACUUCGAAAUUAGCAUAGCCGACGAGAGAGAUCAAACUUUUCUUCAUUUCUGGAGAAAUCGAUUGGGAAGCAGACGAUUUGUGCUGUUUGAUUUGUCGUUUGUUUGAAGAAGUGGAAGAAAAUGUUGGUAGCGAACAGUUUCGAUUUAUGGCAGAAGGACUCCUUCUUCUCCGCAGCUGAGGAGGUUCAGCAAUCUGCUGAUAGAAUGGAAUCGGCACAUAGGACAUGGCUCCGAGCAAGGAGAGAAGAAUUAAUACCCCAGAAUUUGAAUGAAAUAACUAGAGAGCUUCAAAUGGCUUUAGGCACUGCAAAAUGGCAGUUGGAAGAGUUCGAAAGGGCAAUUCAUAUAAGCUACCGAAAUAACAGUGAUGAUAGCACAACUACUCGUCAUAGGGAAUUUGUUACUGCUAUACAAGAUCAGAUUUUGCGUGUCGAAACUGCAUUGAAGGAAUCAUUAAACACAGAAGGAACAGAACCAUUUAGAUGGGUAAAUUUGGAUGAAGAAGAAUGUGAUGACUUAGAACAUUUUCUUUCUGGAACUCCUGGAACCUCCCAUGGAUCAUCACUUCGUAGAAGUAAUGCAAAAGGAGAUUCCCCUCAUGGUUCUGGGGUUAGUUCCAUUUUGCAAACUGCAAAUCAAGAGAUUAGGUUAAAAGAAGUUCCCAGGAGUAUCGUAGCUGCCAACAGCUUCAUAGAGCUGCAGGAGAGCAAAUUUCCUGAGUCAGCAGAUGAAAUUAGAAAUCAAGUGGAUGAGAUAUCUAAUAACCGAAGAGCAUGGAGUUUGUCGGACAGAACUGCUCUUGAGAUUGUUGUUGAUAAUGAUGAGAGGCCUAGAAAUGCACUGGUUGAAUCAACCCCAAAAGAGAAGGGAUUCAAAUCUUUCUUUUGGAGGCCAAGGAGUGGAGCUAAAAGCGUGCCCCAUCUUACCCGGAUGAAGAUUCUCAGUUGGGUAAAUCGGAACACAAGAGGAGGCCACAGAAGUCAGAGGCAGCACCUAAUGUCUUCACUCUUUCCAGUUAAUUCCAUACGUUUCGUACUUGCCUUUAUGCUCACCAUAUUUUUAGUCGUGCCUUUUUUGCUCUACUCGACUUAAGUUCAUUAACCGGGAGCUCCAAAACAGGUUACUAAGUCGCUGAGAUGAAGCAUUUGUAACAGCAACAUUUGGGCAAGCACUUUCAUCUACCAGGAUGGGAUACCAGAGGGCCGAUAUCAGAGAAUAGUCAAGCUAGAGGACUUCCUUUCAUUCAAGUGUAGAUAAUUCUUCUAGUUGAAUGGUGGUCUCGCGACCUGGUCGAGCUCCAUAUGCCAUGCUGGUUCUGAUUCUCGAAAUAAAACUGGGAUUGUAAUCCAACACUUGUAUCGCUUAUAGAAUUUUAAGACUUUGGAGUGGAGUGCAGCAGGAUCAAUAGCGGAGAUUCAGACAUAAAUACAAUACAAUGAUUUGAAUACUUAUUAUCCAUUCCAUUCCUGUGAAAUAUGUGUGCUGGUCUCAGAUUUCAUCGGCAACAAACAGAACAAUGAACUCCAGCUCCAGGUAAGGUAAAUAUGCUUCACUGAGUGGCUCUUGUAUAUAACAUGACGACCUUAACUCAUGCAAUUUGUGGUUUAUUUUUGGCAUUACUUUGUGGCGAUGUUCUUGCGCUGAUUGAAUUAAAGUUAAUGCACUAUUUUUUUGUAGUCACCACAUU
This is an RNA transcript of Andrographis paniculata, 1798 nucleotides long. RefSeq lists it as uncharacterized. The record is from RefSeq and is a predicted model, not a curated record. Lineage: Eukaryota; Viridiplantae; Streptophyta; Magnoliopsida; Lamiales; Acanthaceae. The transcript has 8 exons.